GCCACUGUACUCGGCCUGUCAAC
RNAcentral lists this non-coding RNA (23 nucleotides) under Arabidopsis thaliana (thale cress). The record is from RNAcentral. Lineage: Eukaryota; Viridiplantae; Streptophyta; Magnoliopsida; Brassicales; Brassicaceae.